CAGCCGCCGCGGUAAUACAGAGGGUGCGAGCGUUAAUCGGAUUUACUGGGCGUAAAGCGUGCGUAGGCGGCUUCUUAAGUCGGAUGUGAAAUCCCUGAGCUUAACUUAGGAAUUGCAUUCGAUACUGGGAAGCUAGAGUAUGGGAGAGGAUGGUAGAAUUCCAGGUGUAGCGGUGAAAUGCGUAGAGAUCUGGAGGAAUACCGAUGGCGAAGGCAGCUAUCUGGACUAAUACUGACGCUGAGGUACGAAAGCAUGGGGAGCAAACAGGAUUAGAUACCCUAGUAGUCCCUGUCUCUUAUAA
RNAcentral lists this ribosomal RNA (301 nucleotides) under uncultured bacterium. RNAcentral's name for it is "partial 16S ribosomal RNA". It matches the Rfam family "Bacterial small subunit ribosomal RNA", at positions 509 to 809 of the family's 1533-position model. The record is from RNAcentral.